UUGAAGAGCUUGGAGAGGAAGCUUUCUGAAAUUUCCUGGAAUGGGGUUCCCUCCAACAUGCCUAAUGGUGGGCAGGCUAGAAAGUAUAUGGAUGAUGAACCAAUUCAGGAAGAGACUCCUAGAAAAGAGAGGGUUCUAUUAAAUGGUCAGGUUGAAGAGAAUGUCGUGCAUGGACAAAAAGAUUUACAUGUAUCUAACGGAAGCUCUGCUGCUCAAGAGGGGCCAGCUCAUUCUGAAAGUUUAGACCAUGAAGAAAAAAAUGAUUCUGAUUUCCAUGGGCAAAAGGAUUUCAUGGAUCAUAGAGAAACCGAGUUGGUUGUUCUGGAAAAUGAAAUCUCAGACCUUAAUGAUAGGUUGGAGGCACUCGAGACUGAUCAUGAUUUUCUUGAGCACAUGCUUUACUCUCUUCAAAAUGGAAAUGAAGGCCUACGGUUUGUUCAAGACAUAGCUCAUCAGCUGCGAGAAUUGCGAAAAAUUGGGACCGCUUUCAGUUGUCAGUCUGUUUCCUAACUUCAGAUGCACCAUCACAUGAUUUAUUUGAAAUACAAAGGCAGAAAUCAAAACCAAUGCUUCGAGUUUCAAUCAGCGAUCAUCUGAGAGCAAAAAUGAAGAAAUCAAUUGCAUUCCUUCGGUCACCUACAAUCAUGAAAAACCAAAAUGAAUUUCAUGUACAGGUACCAGCCAAAACUCUUGGAAGAAAAAAAAAAGGUCUAUAAUAGGACAUAGCUUUCCCAUCUUGGAAGCUCAAUUUUGCAUCUUCUUUUUUCCACUGUUGGGUCUAUUUGGCCCUUCACUUUGUUUGAUUGGAGAGCUGGCAGGUUUUAAGUUCCAUGUUUUUCUAUGAGACUGUAAAAUUAGCAUUUUUAUGUAGUUCCUAUUUCUUCUUCUCCAA
Molecule: long non-coding RNA, 892 nt
Organism: Prunus mume (Japanese apricot)
Lineage: Eukaryota; Viridiplantae; Streptophyta; Magnoliopsida; Rosales; Rosaceae
Source: RefSeq, a predicted model, not a curated record